Molecule: unclassified non-coding RNA, 184 nt
Filed under: uncultured Metarhizium
Lineage: Eukaryota; Fungi; Ascomycota; Sordariomycetes; Hypocreales; Clavicipitaceae
Description: sequence contains ITS1
Source: RNAcentral
UCGAGUUUACAACUCCCAAACCCCUGUGAACUUAUACCUUUACUGUUGCCUCGGCGGUUUCGCCCCGGGAAAUAGGUUCGCGAGAGCCUGGCCCCCUGGAACCAAGGCGCCCGCCGGUGGGAAUCUACAGAACUCUUGUAUGUUGUUUUGGCAUGUCUGAGUGGAAAUAUCAUAUAAUGAAUCA